This is a long non-coding RNA of Arabidopsis thaliana (thale cress), 205 nucleotides long. RefSeq annotates it as other RNA. NCBI's taxonomy places the organism in Eukaryota, Viridiplantae, Streptophyta, Magnoliopsida, Brassicales, Brassicaceae. The transcript has a single exon. The record is from RefSeq.
AUAUCCGGCUGACCAGUGACCAUUAAAGUAGUUGCCUUUUCCAGCGUUUCUUCAUGAGAGAAUUAAACAAAAAAAAACUUUGACAAGGACAGCUGUAAAAUCUUUGGUUCAGAGGUUACGGUCAAAAUCAUAAUUUCUAUAUCUGCUCUUUUACUUUCUCUGGUUUUUUUACUUUAAACUUCCUAUUUCUCUCUUUUUUCGCCUA